UACAGAGGGUGCAAGCGUUAAUCGGAAUUACUGGGCGUAAAGCGUGCGUAGCCGGUUAUGUAAGUCAGAUGUGAAAGCCCCGGGCUUAACCUGGGAAUGGCAUUUGAGACUGCAUAGCUAGGGUGCGGAAGAGGGAAGCGGAAUUUCCGGUGUAGCGGUGAAAUGCGUAGAUAUCGGAAGGAACACCAGUGGCGAAAGCGGCUUCCUGGUCCAGCACCGACGUUCAGGCACGAAAGCGUGGGGAGCAAACAGG
RNAcentral lists this ribosomal RNA (253 nucleotides) under uncultured bacterium. RNAcentral describes it as "partial 16S ribosomal RNA". It matches the Rfam family "Bacterial small subunit ribosomal RNA", at positions 524 to 776 of the family's 1533-position model. The record is from RNAcentral.